RNAcentral lists this ribosomal RNA (492 nucleotides) under uncultured bacterium. Its description in RNAcentral is "partial 16S ribosomal RNA". It matches the Rfam family "Bacterial small subunit ribosomal RNA", at positions 29 to 507 of the family's 1533-position model. The record is from RNAcentral.
AGUGAACGCUGGCGGUAGGCCUAACACAUGCAAGUCGAACGGCAGCACAGUAAGAGCUUGCUCUUACGGGUGGCGAGUGGCGGACGGGUGAGGAAUACAUCGGAAUCUACUUUUUCGUGGGGGAUAACGUAGGGAAACUUACGCUAAUACCGCAUACGACCUACGGGUGAAAGCAGGGGAUCUUCGGACCUUGCGCGAUUGAAUGAGCCGAUGUCGGAUUAGCUAGUUGGCGGGGUAAAGGCCCACCAAGGCGACGAUCCGUAGCUGGUCUGAGGGGAUGAUCAGCCACACUGGAACUGAGACACGUUCCAGACUCCUACGGGAGGCAGCAGUGGGGAAUAUUGGACAAUGGGCGCAAGCCUGAUCCAGCCAUACCGCGUGGGUGAAGAAGGCGUUCGGGUUGUAAAGCCCUUUUGUUGGGAAAGAAAAGCAGCAGGUUAAUACCCCGCUGUUCUGACGGUACCCAAAGAAUAAGCACCGGCUAACUUCGUG